Molecule: ribosomal RNA, 429 nt
Filed under: Verrucomicrobiota bacterium
Lineage: Bacteria; Pseudomonadati; Verrucomicrobiota
Description: Verrucomicrobia bacterium partial 16S ribosomal RNA
Rfam family: Bacterial small subunit ribosomal RNA
Source: RNAcentral
UAGGGAAUCUUCCGCAAUGGACGAACGUCUGACGGAGCAACGCCGCGUGAGUGAAGAAGGAUUUCGGUUCGUAAAACUCUGUUGUUAGGGAAGAAAAAAUGUAUAGUAACUAUAUACAAAAGAGACGGUACCUAACCAGAAAGCCACGGCUAACUACGUGCCAGCAGCCGCGGUAAUACGUAGGUGGCAAGCGUUGUCCGGAAUUAUUGGGCGUAAAGCGCGCGCAGGUGGUUUAGAAAGUCUGAUGUGAAAGCCCACGGCUCAACCGUGGAGAGUCGUUGGAAACUAAUAAACUUGAGUGCAGGAGAGAAAAGUGGAAUUCCUAGGGUAGCGGUGGAAUGCGUAGAGAUUAGGAGGAACAACGGUGGCGAGAGCGGCUUUUUGGCCUGCAACUGAAGCUGAGGCGCGAAAGCGUGGGGAGCAAACAGG